AACGAACGCUGGCGGCAUGCCUAACACAUGCAAGUCGAACGAGGCCUUCGGGUCUAGUGGCGCACGGGUGCGUAACGCGGGGGAACCUGCCCUUAGGUUCGGAAUAACUCCCCGAAAGGGGUGCUAAUACCGGAUAAUGUCUUCGGACCAAAGAUUUAUGGCCUUUGGAUGGGCCCGCGUUGGACUAGGUAGUUGGUAGGGUAAAAGCCUACCAAGGCGACGAUCCAUAGCUGGUCUGAGAGGAAGAUCAGCCACACUGGGACUGAGACACGGCCCAGACUCCUACGGGAGGCAGCAGUGGGGAAUAUUGGACAAUGGGCGAAAGCCUGAUCCAGCAAUGCCGCGUGAGUGAUGAAGGCCUUAGGGUUGUAAAGCUCUUUUACCCGGGAUGAUAAUGACAGUACCGGGAGAAUAAGCUCCGGCUAACUCCGUG
This 433-nucleotide ribosomal RNA is filed under the name uncultured bacterium. RNAcentral's name for it is "partial 16S ribosomal RNA". It matches the Rfam family "Bacterial small subunit ribosomal RNA", at positions 29 to 507 of the family's 1533-position model. The record is from RNAcentral.